CCUACGGGCGGCAGCAGUGAGGAAUAUUGGUCAAUGGGCUUACGCCUGAACCAGCCAAGUCGCGUGAGGGAAGACUGCCCUAUGGGUUGUAAACCUCUUUUGUCAGGGAGCAACGCCGGCUACGCGUAGCCGGACUGAGAGUACCUGAAGAAAAAGCAUCGGCGAACUCCGUGCAAGCAGCCGCGGUAAUACGGAGGAUGCGAUGGUUAUCCGGAUUUAUUGGGUUAAAAGGGUGCGUAGGCGGAAUGCCAAGUCAGCGGUAAAAUCGCGGGGCUCAACCUCGCUCAGCCGUUGAAACUGGGGUUCUUGAGUGGGCGGGAAGUAUGCGGAAUGCGUGGUGUAGCGGUGAAAUGCAUAGAUAUCACGCAGAACUCCGAUUGCGAAGGCAGCAUGCCGGGGCCCAACUGACGCUGAAGCACGAAAGCGUGGGGAUCGAACAGGAUUAGAUACCCUAGUAGUC
This 460-nucleotide ribosomal RNA is filed under the name uncultured bacterium. RNAcentral describes it as "partial 16S ribosomal RNA". It matches the Rfam family "Bacterial small subunit ribosomal RNA", at positions 338 to 795 of the family's 1533-position model. The record is from RNAcentral.